RNAcentral lists this ribosomal RNA (497 nucleotides) under uncultured bacterium. RNAcentral describes it as "partial 16S ribosomal RNA". It matches the Rfam family "Bacterial small subunit ribosomal RNA", at positions 28 to 523 of the family's 1533-position model. The record is from RNAcentral.
GAUGAACGCUAGCUACAGGCUUAACACAUGCAAGUCGAGGGGUAGCAGGGUAGCAAUACCGCUGACGACCGGCGCACGGGUGAGUAACACGUAUCCAACCUACCGUUUACUCGGGGAUAGCCUUUCGAAAGAAAGAUUAAUACCCGAUAGUAUAAAGAGUUCGCAUGUUCUCUUUAUUAAAGGAUUGCGGUAAAUGAUGGGGAUGCGUUCCAUUAGAUUGUUGGCGGGGUAACGGCCCACCAAGUCUUCGAUGGAUAGGGGUUCUGAGAGGAAGGUCACCCACAUUGGAACUAAGACACGGUCUAAACUCCUACGGGAGGCAGCAGUGAGGAAUAUUAGUCAAUGGGCGUUAGCCUGAACCAGCCAAGUAGCUUGAAGAAUGACUGCCUUAUGGGUUGUAAACUUCUUUUAUAAGGGAAUAAAACGGGGAACGUGUUCCCCUUUGCAUGUACCUUACGAAUAAGGAUCGGCUAACUCCGUGCCAGCAGCCGCCGUAA